UUUGUUGCAGACUUUGGAAAGAGUCCGUGACGUGCACGCUGCGCCAGCAGGCUUCCGCUCUGAUCCUUGAGCGUUUUUGCUAAGGGUUAAAACGUUUGCACUAUACAAUUCCUGUACUAGAGCGCGCUGUAUGCCAGGUCAGGCCCACACGAAACUACUUCCCAAGAAAAUACGGCAAAUUAAGUACAAAAAUGAUAAAAGAUAAGGUGUUGAGGUACCCGGCGGUUGGCUGGCGGGGCUACCCGCCCUCAUUUUUCCUCCAAAGACCCAUUCCCAUGGUUUCGUGCUUUCCCACUUGCUUUUAGGAGGGCCUUUGCAACUUACUAAGCGUUGCCGCGCUAGUCAGCAGGGGAGCAUAAGCCGGUAAGGACUGAUAAAACAAGAAUGGACGAACCCUUGUUUAUUUGGGAUCACUGGGCGGGUGUAUGUAUGGAAGUGAAGUGGAAAUGUGGAAAUGUGGCCAUCGCUGUGCUCGCUGUGCUGCGCUGCCUGGUGGCGACAAAGGCUGAACAAUAGA
RNAcentral lists this long non-coding RNA (517 nucleotides) under Volvox carteri. RNAcentral's name for it is "long non-coding RNA (VCAR_LNC003433)". The record is from RNAcentral. Lineage: Eukaryota; Viridiplantae; Chlorophyta; Chlorophyceae; Chlamydomonadales; Volvocaceae.